RNAcentral lists this ribosomal RNA (521 nucleotides) under uncultured microorganism. RNAcentral describes it as "bacterial SSU rRNA". It matches the Rfam family "Bacterial small subunit ribosomal RNA", at positions 9 to 525 of the family's 1533-position model. The record is from RNAcentral.
GAGUUUGAUCGUGGCUCAGAUUGAACGCUGGCGGCAGGCCUAACACAUGCAAGUCGAGCGGAUGAAGGGAGCUUGCUCCUGGAUUCAGCGGCGGACGGGUGAGUAGUGCCUAGGAAUCUGCCUGGUAGUGGGGAGUAACGUCCGGAACGGGCGCUAAUACCGCAUACGUCCUGAGGGAGAAAGUGGGGAGUCUUCGGACCUCACGCUAUCAGAUGAGCCUAGGUCGGAUUAGCUAGUUGGUGGGGUAAAGGCCUACCAAGGCGACGAUCCGUAACUGGUCUGAGAGGAUGAUCAGUCACACUGGAACUGAGACACGGUCCAGACUCCUACGGGAGGCAGCAGUGGGGAAUAUUGGACAAUGGGCGGAAAGCCUGAUCCAGCCAUGCCGCGUGUGUGAAGAAGGUCUUCGGAUUGUAAAGCACUUUAAGUUGGGAGGAAGGGCAGUAAGUUAAUACCUUGCUGUUUUGACGUUACCAACAGAAUAAGCACCGGCUAACUUCGUGCCAGCAGCCGCCGUCGGG